GACGAACGCUGGCGGCGUGCUUAACACAUGCAAGUCGAACGGAAAGGCCCUGCUUUUGUGGGGUUCUCGAGUGGCGAACGGGUGAGUAACACGUGAGUAACCUGCCCUUGGAUGUGGGAUAACUUCAGGUGACUGGGGCUAAUACCGGAUAGGAGCUCCUGCUGCAUGGUGGGGGUUGGAAAGUUUCGGCGGUUGGGGAUGGACUCGCGGCUUAUCAGCUUGUUGGUGGGGUAGUGGCGUACCACGGCUUUGCCGGGUAGCCGGCCUGAGAGGGUGGCCGCCCACAUUAGUACUAAGAUACGGCCCAGAGUCCUACGGGAGGCAGCAGUGGGAAAUAUUGCACAAUGGGCGGACGCCUGAGGCAGCAACGCCGCGUGCGUGAAGACGGCCUUCGGGUUGUGAACCGCUUUCGCCUGUGACGAAGCCUGAGUGACGGUAAUGGGUAAAGAAGCACCGGCUAACUACGUG
Molecule: ribosomal RNA, 468 nt
Filed under: uncultured bacterium
Lineage: Bacteria
Description: partial 16S ribosomal RNA
Rfam family: Bacterial small subunit ribosomal RNA
Source: RNAcentral